RNAcentral lists this ribosomal RNA (1277 nucleotides) under Enterobacter cloacae. RNAcentral describes it as "bacterial SSU rRNA". It matches the Rfam family "Bacterial small subunit ribosomal RNA", at positions 69 to 1344 of the family's 1533-position model. Lineage: Bacteria; Pseudomonadati; Pseudomonadota; Gammaproteobacteria; Enterobacterales; Enterobacteriaceae. The record is from RNAcentral.
GUAGCACAGAGAGCUUGCUCUCGGGUGACGAGUGGCGGACGGGUGAGUAAUGUCUGGGAAACUGCCUGAUGGAGGGGGAUAACUACUGGAAACGGUAGCUAAUACCGCAUAACGUCGCAAGACCAAAGAGGGGGACCUUCGGGCCUCUUGCCAUCAGAUGUGCCCAGAUGGGAUUAGCUAGUAGGUGGGGUAACGGCUCACCUAGGCGACGAUCCCUAGCUGGUCUGAGAGGAUGACCAGCCACACUGGAACUGAGACACGGUCCAGACUCCUACGGGAGGCAGCAGUGGGGAAUAUUGCACAAUGGGCGCAAGCCUGAUGCAGCCAUGCCGCGUGUAUGAAGAAGGCCUUCGGGUUGUAAAGUACUUUCAGCGGGGAGGAAGGUGUUGUGGUUAAUAACCGCAGCAAUUGACGUUACCCGCAGAAGAAGCACCGGCUAACUCCGUGCCAGCAGCCGCGGUAAUACGGAGGGUGCAAGCGUUAAUCGGAAUUACUGGGCGUAAAGCGCACGCAGGCGGUCUGUCAAGUCGGAUGUGAAAUCCCCGGGCUCAACCUGGGAACUGCAUUCGAAACUGGCAGGCUGGAGUCUUGUAGAGGGGGGUAGAAUUCCAGGUGUAGCGGUGAAAUGCGUAGAGAUCUGGAGGAAUACCGGUGGCGAAGGCGGCCCCCUGGACAAAGACUGACGCUCAGGUGCGAAAGCGUGGGGAGCAAACAGGAUUAGAUACCCUGGUAGUCCACGCCGUAAACGAUGUCGAUUUGGAGGUUGUGCCCUUGAGGCGUGGCUUCCGGAGCUAACGCGUUAAAUCGACCGCCUGGGGAGUACGGCCGCAAGGUUAAAACUCAGAUGAAUUGACGGGGGCCCGCACAAGCGGUGGAGCAUGUGGUUUAAUUCGAUGCAACGCGAAGAACCUUACCUGGUCUUGACAUCCACAGAACUUUCCAGAGAUGGAUUGGUGCCUUCGGGAACUGUGAGACAGGUGCUGCAUGGCUGUCGUCAGCUCGUGUUGUGAAAUGUUGGGUUAAGUCCCGCAACGAGCGCAACCCUUAUCCUUUGUUGCCAGCGGUCCGGCCGGGAACUCAAAGGAGACUGCCAGUGAUAACUGUGAGGAAGGGGGGGAUGACGUCCAGUCAUCAUGGGCCUUACAACCAGGGUUACCCCGGGUUCAAUGGGGCCAACAAAGAAGAAACAACCUCGCGAGAACAACGGACCUCAAAAAGGCGCGCAAUCCCGGAUUGGAGCUGCACCCCACUCCCUAAACCGGAAUCGCUUGUAAUCG